CCUACGGGAGGCAGCAGUGGGGAAUAUUGGGCAAUGGAGGAAACUCUGACCCAGCAACGCCGCGUGAAUGAUGAAGGUCCUCGGAUUGUAAAGUUCUUUUCUAAGGGAAGAAGAAAGUGACGGUACCUUAGGAAUAAGCCUCGGCGAACUACGUGCCAGCAGCCGCGGUAAUACGUAGGAGGCGAGCGUUAUCCGGAAUGACUGGGCGUAAAGGGGGCGUAGGUGGUUUGGCAAGUUAGUAGCGAAACUCCAAGGCUCAACCUUGGAACUACUACUGAAACUGUUUGACUUGAGUGCAGGAGGGGCAACCGGAAUUCCUAGUGUAGCGGUGGAAUGCGUAGAUAUUAGGAGGAACACCAGUGGCGAAGGCGGGUUGCUGGACUGUAACUGACACUGAGGCACGAAAGCGUGGGGAGCAAACAGGAUUAGAUACCCUUGUAGUC
This 443-nucleotide ribosomal RNA is filed under the name uncultured bacterium. Its description in RNAcentral is "partial 16S ribosomal RNA". It matches the Rfam family "Bacterial small subunit ribosomal RNA", at positions 338 to 795 of the family's 1533-position model. The record is from RNAcentral.